This 253-nucleotide ribosomal RNA is filed under the name uncultured bacterium. RNAcentral's name for it is "partial 16S ribosomal RNA". It matches the Rfam family "Bacterial small subunit ribosomal RNA", at positions 524 to 776 of the family's 1533-position model. The record is from RNAcentral.
UACGUAGGGUGCGAGCGUUGUCCGGAAUUAUUGGGCGUAAAGGGCUCGUAGGCGGUUUGUCGCGUCGGGAGUGAAAACGCCGUGCUUAACACGGCGCUUGCUUUCGAUACGGGCAGACUAGAGGUAUUCAGGGGAGAACGGAAUUCCUGGUGUAGCGGUGGAAUGCGCAGAUAUCAGGAGGAACACCGGUGGCGAAGGCGGGUCUCUGGGCAGUAACUGACGCUGAGGAGCGAAAGCGUGGGGAGCGAACAGG